UAUUAUACCAAAAACAAAAAGAUUAAUAAAUACCGGAUCAUUAAUAGAUAUUUUCUUUAAAUUUAAAGAAUUUGGCGGUGGUUUAGUCUUGUCAGAGGAACUUGUUUGUUAAAUCGAUAAUCCCCGUAAAAUCUUGCUCGUUUUUGUUUUCAGUUUAUAUACCGUCAUUAGUAGAUAAUUUUUAAAGAAUAAAUUAUUGGGUCUUAAAAGAGUAAUUAAGUAAAAUUAGAUCAAGGUGUAGCUUAUGAACGAGUCUAAAUGAGUUACAAUAAAUAUUUAUUUAUAACGAAAUGAUAAAGGAAGAGUUAUCAGGAAGGGGGAUUUGAUUGUAAUGUAAGUUUAAUAUGCUUAAGAGAUAUAAGCUCUAAGCCAU
RNAcentral lists this ribosomal RNA (373 nucleotides) under Eupilumnus africanus. RNAcentral describes it as "partial 12S ribosomal RNA". The record is from RNAcentral. Lineage: Eukaryota; Metazoa; Arthropoda; Malacostraca; Decapoda; Oziidae.